UACGUAGGGUGCGAGCGUUGUCCGGAAUUAUUGGGCGUAAAGAGCUCGUAGGCGGUGUGUCACGUCGUUCGUGAAAACCUGCAGCUUAACUGUGGGCGUGCGGUCGAUACGGGCAUCACUGGAGUUCGGCAGGGGAGACUGGAAUUCCUGGUGUAGCGGUGAAAUGCGCAGAUAUCAGGAGGAACACCAAUGGCGAAGGCAGCUCGCUGGGACGGUACUGACGCUGAGACGCGAAAGCGUGGGGAGCAAACAGG
This 254-nucleotide ribosomal RNA is filed under the name uncultured bacterium. RNAcentral's name for it is "partial 16S ribosomal RNA". It matches the Rfam family "Bacterial small subunit ribosomal RNA", at positions 524 to 776 of the family's 1533-position model. The record is from RNAcentral.